GUUGUGCACAAACAAUGAAUCAUGGAACACCACAUCUAAAACUAAUGAUGUAAUGUAGGGGAUUAACAUAAGAAUAAAAAAAAGAAGAAGAAAAGCACACUGGUAUAAGAUUGAGAUUUGGGUUUUCUAUGUUAAAAUGACAAGGUUUUCUUGGAUUGUUAGUGUACUCUUUUUUUCUUUCUUAAGAUUGUAUUUAUUUAUUUGACAGAGAGAGACACAGCGAGAGAGGGAACACAAGCAGGGGGAGCGGGAGAGGGAGAAGCAGGCUCCCGGCCAAGCAGAGAGCCCGAUGUGGGGCUCGAUCCCAAGACCCUGGGAUCAUGACCUGAGCCGAAGGCCGACAGACGCUUGACGACUGAGCCACCCAGGCGCUCCUCCGAGAUUUUAUUUUUUAAAUAAUCUCUACACUGAACGUGGGGCUCGAACUCACAACCCUGAGAUCAAGAGUCGUGCUCUCUACCGACUGAGCCAGCCAGGUGCCCCUGGACUGUCAUCUCGAAGAGACACAUGCGUAGACUCAGAUAUGGCCCUGCUACCAAAUACUGGCUGUCUCUGCAGAAGUCUGGACUCAAGGUCAACUGAUAAUGGCUGCAGCCUAUGAAGAAGCGAGGUCCUGAUUCCUUACCUGAGAAAAGGAGCCUAAGACCCCAUCCAGGUUGUACCAGCUCUCAGAGCAUGCCCACAGCCUCUUCUCCUUGUCCUCAGAUAACCUCCUGACAUCAGGGACUCAGUUUUGCCUCAUUCAGAUGUCAGGUCUCCACCCCGAAGUAAACAUGGGAAUCUAUGAGAAAUUAGAUCCCAUCCAGCAAGAGCUGAAUCCGAGUCCUCUGCUCACCCCACGACGGAAAAGAAUAUGCACAGGCCUGCAUCCCUCUUCUCCUUCUCCACCAUGUCGGAAGAAAAGAUUUUACUGGACAGAGACACAGCGAGAGAGGGAACGCAAGCAGAGGGAGUGGGAGAGGGAGAAGCGGGCUUCCCGCCGAGCAGGGAGCCCGAUGCGGGGCUCGAUUAUCGGGACCCUGGCACCCUGGCACCCUGGCACCCUGGGAUCAUGACCUGAGCCGAAGGCAGACGCUUAAUGACUGAGCCACCCAGUCGCCCCCCACUUUCCACCUUGACCGUGCCUAGUCGUCCACCCGUCUAGUCCUCUUGGCCGCGCCUGGUCUUGCCCUCGAAUGUGUUCGUCUGGAGCACAGAGCUAGAUCCAGAGAAUGAGAGAAUGAGAUCGAUGGACCCACGGACGGAAAUCAAGUUUCUCUUUCCCUGAAAUGACCUAGGACACUCCUCUUCUAGUCAGCUCCCAUCCUGCUCCCCCACCCCCAACAACCUCUCAUCGGACCUUCCCCUUUUGCCACCAGAAAGCUUUUCCACUCCUCCGCCUGGCCUGCGUUUGCUUGGCGUCUCUGCCAGACCCAGGCGGUGGUGGCCGACCGCAGACUCUCUUGCCCUCAAGAAAUGAUUCCCGCUCUCAUGUGGGUGAUCUUUUAUCUCCACAGAGGUGGCUCACAAAGCUGCACAACCUUCACUGCAAUUUCCAGAACAUUUCCAUCACCGCCAAAAGAAAUAAACACCUCUACUACCCCUCCCCCCUUCCUGUCCGCGCCUCGCCCCCACCCGCCGUCACCGUCGCCCUCGCCGUCACCGUCGCCCUCGCCCUCACCCGGGCUCUCUUCACUGUUCUCCCCCAACAGGGAGUAGAAAGGGAAGUUAGAGGGAACAUUCUUCCUCCCCUACACCUGCUGAACGCACAUGGACACACACCGCAACCCUCCCCGCCAGGCGCGCGCACCCACCCACCCCCGCCCCGCCAAGCCCCGCCCCGCCCCGCCACGCCACGCCACGCCCCCCAUCCCGGCCUUACGUGUACCUUACGUACCUCUGCACGGACUCGAGAUUUGGCAAUAGCCUUGAUUGCCCUGCAAUGUUUCCAAACCUCGGCGCUCCCCAACCUUCCCCACCCCGACCCCCGCCCCUUCGAAGAAGAACUAACCUAAUUCGGGGAGCUUCCAGGUUGCUUGAACGCCUGAAAUGGUGGGGACAGAGGCGUUCCUGGAGAGGGGUCACGGAACACGGAAGCUCUGCCCCCCUUCCCUUUGCCUCUGUUCCAUCUGGAGUUUCCUCAGUUGUAUCCUUUUAGGACACAGCGGUCAUGUAAGAAAUGAGAAAAAAAAGGACUGAAGGACUGAACCGGGCUAGACUGGUUUAAAAUUCUUCACUAGCGUCCAUGCCGAAUACAUUUCGACGACAGGGGCCUUCGCACGGCUUUUGGUGCACAGAAGACCGAUGCACCGAAGCCUGCCGAUCUCGGGACGUGUCCACGAGGGGAAAGAGUGUCAGCCUAUCGGAAAAGAGAGUCGGUUAACGUAGAUUGCAAAGGCAUUCGUUCAUCCCGAGAGACUUCCUCUCCAUGAUGGCGGGUGGCGCGAGAUGGAAGAGUUGGCUUCCAUGAAAAAGGGGCCCUUUCUUGAAGACCCUGCCCAGCUAUCGGGGUUUUGUUGGUUUGUGUUUUGUCAUCUGUGAUAGGAAGGCAUCUUCUUAGCCAUCGGGAGGGAAACCUCAACAAAUUCAGCCAUUCAGAUCACAAGGGAUUUCUUGGGUUUGGUGGAUCUGAGAUCUGGUCUGCCUCCGACUGCUCCCCGAGAUUGCCUUUAUGCCGAGAAUGGGAUUCCUCAUCAGACACACAGAAGUCCGGCUCCUUGCCACGGAGCUGGCUGCUCUAUGGAUGCCUUUAAAAAGGAAGCCUGCCUUUAAUUCGGACGUCGGAACGUGAUCGGUCGCUUUUUCAUGGGGGGUUGGCCAAUUAAAUUUCCCCCGCCUUGGGCGCCUGGGUGGCUCAGUUGGUUAAGCGGCUGCCUUCGGCUCCGGUCAUGAUCCUGGAGUCCCUGGAUCGAGUCCCGCAUCGGGCUCCCUGCUCAGCAGGGAGUCUGCUUCUCCCUCUGACCCUCCCCCCUCUCAUGUGCUCUCUCUCAUUCAUUCUCUCUCUCUCUCUCUCUCUCUCUCUCUCUGUCUCAAAUAAAUAAACAAACAAACAAACAAACAAAUAAAUAAAUAAAUAAAAUCUUAAAAAAAAAAAAUUCCCCCCGCCUUACAAAGCAGAGACUGGUGAAGGGUCCUCCAAGUGCCCUCUGGAAAUCAAGAGCUUCUGUAUCAAGAGGCUGGAAAACGCAUCUUCCCCUUCUUCCUGGUGAAUCCAAUUCUAGGGGUUGAUUCAAAGGAAAUCAUGUUUUAGAUGCUAAAACGUAAAGCUUACUUUUGCAAAAAUGUGCAUCGCGGCAUAGGGUUUAGGAAUCCCUUGUGGCAGACCGACAACCGUGUGUCCCUCACGUCCCGGCACGUGUGCACCCUCACGUCCUAUGACUUCGAUGCUCCUGCUAUCCAGAGGUAGGCUUGAUUGCUCUGUCCCUUGAUUUUGGACCGGGUCUUGGGACUUGUCUUGACCCAAAGAAUAGAGCAGAAGUGACACUUGGCUGGUUUCACAGCCUACACCUGAAGAGGUGGUCUGCCGGCGUUCUCGACCUUCUUGGCAUGCCGUCCUGAGACCUCCACGUAAGAAAGCCAGUCUAGCUGACUGGAGCAUGAGAGGCAUUGACAACAGAGGCAGCCCGGUGCUCGGCGGCACCGACUGCCAGACGUGUGAAAGUUGACCCUCUGGCCGAAAGCCACUGCUUGAGUGAGCCCGGCGUAAACCCGCAGAACCCAAGGGGCCACCCAGGGCAAGCACCAGGAAGUUAUCGAUAAAGAAAUGCUGUUUCGAGCCAUUGCGGUGUUAGGAUGAUGCACCCUGAGGAUCAGCUAGCUGCGCAGCAGCGAUAGAUACCGUGCACACAGAUACACACCACACAACACACCACACCACACCCCCCCCACACACACACGUGUGCAGAAAACCAAACCAACGAAACAAACCAAAACUCUGUAGAACCCUGCACCAAAUGUUGAGGAAACAACGGCCCACCCUCACAAGAAACACCUGCACGCUACAUGUACAAUGCAUAGGGAGCCUAUACUUGCAAGUGCUUACUUGCAUGGGAAACAUUUCACGAUAACAUGAGUCUCAGAUGGCCCAAGCGGGGUUCUUUUGACAUGUCUGAAUUGUGUACACAAUUAGAGAAAGCCUGCUAGGAGACUGGGUGAUCAGAAACUAGGAAGCUCUUUGGUUCCCUCAGUGAAGCCCCGACUUUUGGGGAGGAACCAACACUCAGGGAGAUGCUCUGGUCUUCAUUUGGUUGGUUGGUUGGUUGGUUGGUUGGUUGGUUGGUUGCUGCAGCUUUUGCUAUCUUUGCAUAAAACCGACCCUGUUUCCAUUGGGAAUGGAAAACAACUGACGGGUGGGAUCUGUACACGGUAAUGCUGCUUCGCAGUUGCAUUUGUUUUACUAAAAGAGGGAGAUUUGAACAUUGGGUCUUUCGUGUCCUCUCCAUUCAUGUCCUCUCCACAAAUAAGACUGAAACAAAGGCUAAAAUUUGUUUGCAUCUUGUUUGUGUCUAUGUGUCCGUAUGUGUUAUACAUGUGAGGUAUUUCCUCCACCUCCGGGUGCUAUUGCUAACAUCCAUUUGUAAAGGAGCUCUAUUUAAUGAGUUCUAUUUUUAUUUUAUUUUAUUUUAUUUUAUUUAUUUUAUUCUUUAAAGAUUUUAUUUAUUUAUUUGACAGAGAGAGACACAGCGAGAGAGGGAACACAAGCAGGCGGAGUGGGAGAGGGAGAAGCAGGCUUCCCGCCGAGCAGGGAGCCCGAUGCAGGGGCUUGAUCCCAGGACCCUCGGAUCAUGACCUGAGCUAAAGGCAGACGCUUAACCACUGAGCCAUCCAGUCAAAAUAAUGAAGAAGAGGAGGAAGACAGGCCGAUGCUAGAAAUCUGAAAUCCACUCCUCCUCCUCCCCAAGUACAGGCACCAGAACCGAUGCCCAACCCACUGGCUUCCGGAGGGCUGAAAAGCCACCACAGACAAAGCCUAUUAAGCAGAAGGAGAUGAAGAAAGGGGCGGAGGCGGAGGCGGAGGCGGAGGCGGAGGCGGAGGCGGAGGCGGAGGCGGAGGCGGAGGCGGAGGCGGAGGCGGAGGCGGAGGCGGAGGCGGAGGCGGAGGCGGAGAAGAAAAAAAAGAAAAGGCCCUGCUACCAAAUACUGGCUGUCUCUGCAGAAGUCUGGACUCAAGGUCAACUGAUAAUGGCUGCAGCCUAUGAAGAAGCGAGGUCCUGAUUCCUUACCUGAGAAAAGGAGCCUAAGACCCCAUCCAGGUUGUACCAGCUCUCAGAGCAUGCCCACAGCCUCUUCUCCUUGUCCUCAGAUAACCUCCUGACAUCAGGGACUCAGUUUUGCCUCAUUCAGAUGUCAGGUCUCCACCCCGAAGUAAACAUGGGAAUCUAUGAGAAAUUAGAUCCCAUCCAGCAAGAGCUGAAUCCGAGUCCUCUGCUCACCCCACGACGGAAAAGAAUAUGCACAGGCCUGCAUCCCUCUUCUCCUUCUCCACCAUGUCGGAAGAAAAGAUUUUACUGGACAGAGACACAGCGAGAGAGGGAACGCAAGCAGAGGGAGUGGGAGAGGGAGAAGCGGGCUUCCCGCCGAGCAGGGAGCCCGAUGCGGGGCUCGAUUAUCGGGACCCUGGCACCCUGGCACCCUGGCACCCUGGGAUCAUGACCUGAGCCGAAGGCAGACGCUUAAUGACUGAGCCACCCAGUCGCCCCCCACUUUCCACCUUGACCGUGCCUAGUCGUCCACCCGUCUAGUCCUCUUGGCCGCGCCUGGUCUUGCCCUCGAAUGUGUUCGUCUGGAGCACAGAGCUAGAUCCAGAGAAUGAGAGAAUGAGAUCGAUGGACCCACGGACGGAAAUCAAGUUUCUCUUUCCCUGAAAUGACCUAGGACACUCCUCUUCUAGUCAGCUCCCAUCCUGCUCCCCCACCCCCAACAACCUCUCAUCGGACCUUCCCCUUUUGCCACCAGAAAGCUUUUCCACUCCUCCGCCUGGCCUGCGUUUGCUUGGCGUCUCUGCCAGACCCAGGCGGUGGUGGCCGACCGCAGACUCUCUUGCCCUCAAGAAAUGAUUCCCGCUCUCAUGUGGGUGAUCUUUUAUCUCCACAGAGGUGGCUCACAAAGCUGCACAACCUUCACUGCAAUUUCCAGAACAUUUCCAUCACCGCCAAAAGAAAUAAACACCUCUACUACCCCUCCCCCCUUCCUGUCCGCGCCUCGCCCCCACCCGCCGUCACCGUCGCCCUCGCCGUCACCGUCGCCCUCGCCCUCACCCGGGCUCUCUUCACUGUUCUCCCCCAACAGGGAGUAGAAAGGGAAGUUAGAGGGAACAUUCUUCCUCCCCUACACCUGCUGAACGCACAUGGACACACACCGCAACCCUCCCCGCCAGGCGCGCGCACCCACCCACCCCCGCCCCGCCAAGCCCCGCCCCGCCACGCCACGCCACGCCACGCCCCCCAUCCCGGCCUUACGUGUACCUUACGUACCUCUGCACGGACUCGAGAUUUGGCAAUAGCCUUGAUUGCCCUGCAAUGUUUCCAAACCUCGGCGCUCCCCAACCUUCCCCACCCCGACCCCCGCCCCUUCGAAGAAGAACUAACCUAAUUCGGGGAGCUUCCAGGUUGCUUGAACGCCUGAAAUGGUGGGGACAGAGGCGUUCCUGGAGAGGGGUCACGGAACACGGAAGCUCUGCCCCCCUUCCCUUUGCCUCUGUUCCAUCUGGAGUUUCCUCAGUUGUAUCCUUUUAGGACACAGCGGUCAUGUAAGAAAUGAGAAAAAAAAGGACUGAAGGACUGAACCGGGCUAGACUGGUUUAAAAUUCUUCACUAGCGUCCAUGCCGAAUACAUUUCGACGACAGGGGCCUUCGCACGGCUUUUGGUGCACAGAAGACCGAUGCACCGAAGCCUGCCGAUCUCGGGACGUGUCCACGAGGGGAAAGAGUGUCAGCCUAUCGGAAAAGAGAGUCGGUUAACGUAGAUUGCAAAGGCAUUCGUUCAUCCCGAGAGACUUCCUCUCCAUGAUGGCGGGUGGCGCGAGAUGGAAGAGUUGGCUUCCAUGAAAAAGGGGCCCUUUCUUGAAGACCCUGCCCAGCUAUCGGGGUUUUGUUGGUUUGUGUUUUGUCAUCUGUGAUAGGAAGGCAUCUUCUUAGCCAUCGGGAGGGAAACCUCAACAAAUUCAGCCAUUCAGAUCACAAGGGAUUUCUUGGGUUUGGUGGAUCUGAGAUCUGGUCUGCCUCCGACUGCUCCCCGAGAUUGCCUUUAUGCCGAGAAUGGGAUUCCUCAUCAGACACACAGAAGUCCGGCUCCUUGCCACGGAGCUGGCUGCUCUAUGGAUGCCUUUAAAAAGGAAGCCUGCCUUUAAUUCGGACGUCGGAACGUGAUCGGUCGCUUUUUCAUGGGGGGUUGGCCAAUUAAAUUUCCCCCGCCUUGGGCGCCUGGGUGGCUCAGUUGGUUAAGCGGCUGCCUUCGGCUCCGGUCAUGAUCCUGGAGUCCCUGGAUCGAGUCCCGCAUCGGGCUCCCUGCUCAGCAGGGAGUCUGCUUCUCCCUCUGACCCUCCCCCCUCUCAUGUGCUCUCUCUCAUUCAUUCUCUCUCUCUCUCUCUCUCUCUCUCUCUCUGUCUCAAAUAAAUAAACAAACAAACAAACAAACAAAUAAAUAAAUAAAUAAAAUCUUAAAAAAAAAAAAUUCCCCCCGCCUUACAAAGCAGAGACUGGUGAAGGGUCCUCCAAGUGCCCUCUGGAAAUCAAGAGCUUCUGUAUCAAGAGGCUGGAAAACGCAUCUUCCCCUUCUUCCUGGUGAAUCCAAUUCUAGGGGUUGAUUCAAAGGAAAUCAUGUUUUAGAUGCUAAAACGUAAAGCUUACUUUUGCAAAAAUGUGCAUCGCGGCAUAGGGUUUAGGAAUCCCUUGUGGCAGACCGACAACCGUGUGUCCCUCACGUCCCGGCACGUGUGCACCCUCACGUCCUAUGACUUCGAUGCUCCUGCUAUCCAGAGGUAGGCUUGAUUGCUCUGUCCCUUGAUUUUGGACCGGGUCUUGGGACUUGUCUUGACCCAAAGAAUAGAGCAGAAGUGACACUUGGCUGGUUUCACAGCCUACACCUGAAGAGGUGGUCUGCCGGCGUUCUCGACCUUCUUGGCAUGCCGUCCUGAGACCUCCACGUAAGAAAGCCAGUCUAGCUGACUGGAGCAUGAGAGGCAUUGACAACAGAGGCAGCCCGGUGCUCGGCGGCACCGACUGCCAGACGUGUGAAAGUUGACCCUCUGGCCGAAAGCCACUGCUUGAGUGAGCCCGGCGUAAACCCGCAGAACCCAAGGGGCCACCCAGGGCAAGCACCAGGAAGUUAUCGAUAAAGAAAUGCUGUUUCGAGCCAUUGCGGUGUUAGGAUGAUGCACCCUGAGGAUCAGCUAGCUGCGCAGCAGCGAUAGAUACCGUGCACACAGAUACACACCACACAACACACCACACCACACCCCCCCCCCACACACACGUGUGCAGAAAACCAAACCAACGAAACAAACCAAAACUCUGUAGAACCCUGCACCAAAUGUUGAGGAAACAACGGCCCACCCUCACAAGAAACACCUGCACGCUACAUGUACAAUGCAUAGGGAGCCUAUACUUGCAAGUGCUUACUUGCAUGGGAAACAUUUCACGAUAACAUGAGUCUCAGAUGGCCCAAGCGGGGUUCUUUUGACAUGUCUGAAUUGUGUACACAAUUAGAGAAAGCCUGCUAGGAGACUGGGUGAUCAGAAACUAGGAAGCUCUUUGGUUCCCUCAGUGAAGCCCCGACUUUUGGGGAGGAACCAACACUCAGGGAGAUGCUCUGGUCUUCAUUUGGUUGGUUGGUUGGUUGGUUGGUUGGUUGGUUGGUUGCUGCAGCUUUUGCUAUCUUUGCAUAAAACCGACCCUGUUUCCAUUGGGAAUGGAAAACAACUGACGGGUGGGAUCUGUACACGGUAAUGCUGCUUCGCAGUUGCAUUUGUUUUACUAAAAGAGGGAGAUUUGAACAUUGGGUCUUUCGUGUCCUCUCCAUUCAUGUCCUCUCCACAAAUAAGACUGAAACAAAGGCUAAAAUUUGUUUGCAUCUUGUUUGUGUCUAUGUGUCCGUAUGUGUUAUACAUGUGAGGUAUUUCCUCCACCUCCGGGUGCUAUUGCUAACAUCCAUUUGUAAAGGAGCUCUAUUUAAUGAGUUCUAUUUUUAUUUUAUUUUAUUUUAUUUUAUUUAUUUUAUUCUUUAAAGAUUUUAUUUAUUUAUUUGACAGAGAGAGACACAGCGAGAGAGGGAACACAAGCAGGCGGAGUGGGAGAGGGAGAAGCAGGCUUCCCGCCGAGCAGGGAGCCCGAUGCAGGGGCUUGAUCCCAGGACCCUCGGAUCAUGACCUGAGCUAAAGGCAGACGCUUAACCACUGAGCCAUCCAGUCAAAAUAAUGAAGAAGAGGAGGAAGACAGGCCGAUGCUAGAAAUCUGAAAUCCACUCCUCCUCCUCCCCAAGUACAGGCACCAGAACCGAUGCCCAACCCACUGGCUUCCGGAGGGCUGAAAAGCCACCACAGACAAAGCCUAUUAAGCAGAAGGAGAUGAAGAAAGGGGCGGAGGCGGAGGCGGAGGCGGAGGCGGAGGCGGAGGCGGAGGCGGAGGCGGAGGCGGAGGCGGAGGCGGAGGCGGAGGCGGAGGCGGAGGCGGAGGCGGAGGCGGAGGCGGAGAAGAAAAAAAAGAAAAGGCCCUGCUACCAAAUACUGGCUGUCUCUGCAGAAGUCUGGACUCAAGGUCAACUGAUAAUGGCUGCAGCCUAUGAAGAAGCGAGGUCCUGAUUCCUUACCUGAGAAAAGGAGCCUAAGACCCCAUCCAGGUUGUACCAGCUCUCAGAGCAUGCCCACAGCCUCUUCUCCUUGUCCUCAGAUAACCUCCUGACAUCAGGGACUCAGUUUUGCCUCAUUCAGAUGUCAGGUCUCCACCCCGAAGUAAACAUGGGAAUCUAUGAGAAAUUAGAUCCCAUCCAGCAAGAGCUGAAUCCGAGUCCUCUGCUCACCCCACGACGGAAAAGAAUAUGCACAGGCCUGCAUCCCUCUUCUCCUUCUCCACCAUGUCGGAAGAAAAGAUUUUACUGGACAGAGACACAGCGAGAGAGGGAACGCAAGCAGAGGGAGUGGGAGAGGGAGAAGCGGGCUUCCCGCCGAGCAGGGAGCCCGAUGCGGGGCUCGAUUAUCGGGACCCUGGCACCCUGGCACCCUGGCACCCUGGGAUCAUGACCUGAGCCGAAGGCAGACGCUUAAUGACUGAGCCACCCAGUCGCCCCCCACUUUCCACCUUGACCGUGCCUAGUCGUCCACCCGUCUAGUCCUCUUGGCCGCGCCUGGUCUUGCCCUCGAAUGUGUUCGUCUGGAGCACAGAGCUAGAUCCAGAGAAUGAGAGAAUGAGAUCGAUGGACCCACGGACGGAAAUCAAGUUUCUCUUUCCCUGAAAUGACCUAGGACACUCCUCUUCUAGUCAGCUCCCAUCCUGCUCCCCCACCCCCAACAACCUCUCAUCGGACCUUCCCCUUUUGCCACCAGAAAGCUUUUCCACUCCUCCGCCUGGCCUGCGUUUGCUUGGCGUCUCUGCCAGACCCAGGCGGUGGUGGCCGACCGCAGACUCUCUUGCCCUCAAGAAAUGAUUCCCGCUCUCAUGUGGGUGAUCUUUUAUCUCCACAGAGGUGGCUCACAAAGCUGCACAACCUUCACUGCAAUUUCCAGAACAUUUCCAUCACCGCCAAAAGAAAUAAACACCUCUACUACCCCUCCCCCCUUCCUGUCCGCGCCUCGCCCCCACCCGCCGUCACCGUCGCCCUCGCCGUCACCGUCGCCCUCGCCCUCACCCGGGCUCUCUUCACUGUUCUCCCCCAACAGGGAGUAGAAAGGGAAGUUAGAGGGAACAUUCUUCCUCCCCUACACCUGCUGAACGCACAUGGACACACACCGCAACCCUCCCCGCCAGGCGCGCGCACCCACCCACCCCCGCCCCGCCAAGCCCCGCCCCGCCCCGCCACGCCACGCCACGCCCCCCAUCCCGGCCUUACGUGUACCUUACGUACCUCUGCACGGACUCGAGAUUUGGCAAUAGCCUUGAUUGCCCUGCAAUGUUUCCAAACCUCGGCGCUCCCCAACCUUCCCCACCCCGACCCCCGCCCC
This is a long non-coding RNA of Mirounga angustirostris (Northern elephant seal), 11131 nucleotides long. RefSeq lists it as uncharacterized. The transcript is spliced from 15 exons. NCBI's taxonomy places the organism in Eukaryota, Metazoa, Chordata, Mammalia, Carnivora, Phocidae. The record is from RefSeq and is a predicted model, not a curated record.